Unclassified non-coding RNA from Chelonoidis abingdonii (Abingdon island giant tortoise), 171 nucleotides. The record is from Ensembl. Lineage: Eukaryota; Metazoa; Chordata; Testudines; Testudinidae.
UUGAUAGCCCAUAAGACCUCUAUUCACCCAUAGAACAGAUUCAAACAAGCAGCAGCAGUGCUAACUACCCCACACUGCUCCAGCAUCAUGUCUCAACUCUGACAUGGAAGGACAACCGUAUUAGUGAGAGCAGAAGUUCAAUUUCCAUGUCUGUCCAGACUUUGGGCUUUG